CCUUAAUUGCCAUAUUUCCGCCAUUCAUAAAGAAAUCCCCUGAAUUUUCAAGUAUCUGGUGAGUGUCGACUGCUUGAUCCUCUUUCUGGAGAGUACGUUGCAGAAGAAUCAGUGAGAGGGGAAAAGAGUUGAGUUUUCCUUAAUACGGGGGAACCUCUCUUCUUCGAAGUGGCGACUUUUUCCUUAGAUGCAACCUGCCCUAAAUGCCUUAUCUUUGUGUUGGGUACAAAUAGAAACAAUUGUUAUGUCCUCCUGGUGGUUCAACAUGGAAGAUUUUUUAGUUCAAUAAUGGUUUCACUGAGCCCAAUUCUGUUGUUGAUGCUGCUUAUGCCAGAGGGGUUUUCUAUUGAAUUUUCAAUGGAGGUCAAUGUUGAACUUAAAGAGUGGAGUGGUAUUCUAAUUGAUCAAUGAUUUCCAGGUGUUGUAAGCUCAUUGUUCUGAUUGAUUUUUCAGAGAUGCGUUGGGUUUUAUUGAAUGAGCAUGUGAUGUUUAUUGGGGGCACGUCCAACAGUGGAAGAAACAAGUGAAAUGGCGGCAGUGGCAUAUCUCAUCAUAGAAAGUCGCCACUUUAUCGUAAAUGUCGUCGAGAUCAAUUUAAGUUUACAAACUUUAGAAAAAUAUUGUAAACAUCUCUAUUUAUCAAUAAAAUUCAUAGUCCUUUUGUUCUUUA
Molecule: long non-coding RNA, 670 nt
Organism: Gossypium raimondii (Peruvian cotton)
Lineage: Eukaryota; Viridiplantae; Streptophyta; Magnoliopsida; Malvales; Malvaceae
Exons: 2
Source: RefSeq, a predicted model, not a curated record